CGUCCCUGCUCCUUGCACACACCGCCCGUCGCUUCACCCGAGUUUGGCUUGGACGAGGUUGCUUCUAAUUGGGGCAAUCGAAUCUUGGUUAGGCAAGGGGGAG
RNAcentral lists this ribosomal RNA (103 nucleotides) under uncultured bacterium. Its description in RNAcentral is "partial 16S ribosomal RNA". It matches the Rfam family "Archaeal small subunit ribosomal RNA", at positions 1325 to 1428 of the family's 1478-position model. The record is from RNAcentral.